AGGUUUUUCCAUUUGGUUCGUGUAAGUAGAGGGAAAAAGUCGUGCGGCUAGUCGACUAGUGCGCACCAUGGCGGGGGAUAGCCGAAACUUGCUGCAGACUUUGCUUGAUCAAACAUAUAGACACCGUAGGGCCAUGUACUGUAACCUGUCAGGCUGUCAGCAGCAAAAGUGAAACCUGUUUGAUUUCUUAAGUGUUUAUUUCCAUGAAAUUUUCAUGUCCACAGAAAUUUUUAAAUAUCGUUUGUCCCCUUUUGCAUUGUCCGUGGUAGAAGAAGAUCGGAAAUAUUACUACCAACAAUUAGAACAUCUAAAGUGUCACGAUCCUUUGGCAAUACCACUUCCACUUUUCAAGUGUGGAUAAAUUUUAAAAACAAUUAUCCCUUCCAUUGAAAAAUAUCACCUAGUUCAGUAUUUGGUUUUUGAGAAAAACAAAGAUGAAGAGGGACGACGUGAAGCUUACAAAAACUUAGACUCUGAACAAUACUUGUCAAACACUUUCACUGACAAGUUAUUGGCACUUACUCUUUCUAAUUUGGUUGUGUUGAUUCGUACUCAUGUUACCCAUUCUCAGUCUUUAAACUUGCCAAAAGCAAGACCUUGGGCUGCUUUACAAAAUGAUGGCAAAGUGAUUGUUGCUUUUUGUGAUUGUAUUGCAGGGUUAGGUUCAAUUCAAUGAUGACGGAACAUUGUCUGGUUGAGUUUUGAGAUUCUUAGUAGGAACCCAGUCUAUGUCUUCAGUUUUAUACACAUAUGCAGGUUUCCCUAAAAAAACAUAACUGUUAUUCUACGUAAACGAUUACAAAUGUAAUAUGAAAUAAACCUGAAACAAAAUGAUCAGAGCAAACAAA
Daphnia magna is the source of this 848-nucleotide long non-coding RNA. RefSeq lists it as uncharacterized. Lineage: Eukaryota; Metazoa; Arthropoda; Branchiopoda; Diplostraca; Daphniidae. The record is from RefSeq and is a predicted model, not a curated record. The transcript has 2 exons.